GACGAACGCUGGCGGCGUGCUUAACACAUGCAAGUCGAACGGUAAGGCUCCAGCUUGCUGGGGUACACGAGUGGCGAACGGGUGAGUAACACGUGGGUGACCUGCCCUGCACUUCAGGAUAAGCCUGGGAAACUGGGUCUAAUACCGGAUAGGACCAUGGUGUGGAUACUGUGGUGGAAAGUUUUUUCGGUGUGGGAUGGGCCCGCGGCCUAUCAGCUUGUUGGUGGGGUAAUGGCCUACCAAGGCGGCGACGGGUAGCCGGCCUGAGAGGGUGGACGGCCACAUUGGGACUGAGACACGGCCCAGACUCCUACGGGAGGCAGCAGUGGGGAAUAUUGCACAAUGGGCGGAAGCCUGAUGCAGCGACGCCGCGUGGGGGAUGACGGCCUUCGGGUUGUAAACUCCUUUCACCAUCGACGAAGGGUUUCUGACGGUAGAUGGAGAAGAAGCACCGGCUAACUACGUG
This 466-nucleotide ribosomal RNA is filed under the name uncultured bacterium. RNAcentral describes it as "partial 16S ribosomal RNA". It matches the Rfam family "Bacterial small subunit ribosomal RNA", at positions 28 to 507 of the family's 1533-position model. The record is from RNAcentral.